This 125-nucleotide ribosomal RNA is filed under the name Capnobotryella sp. Its description in RNAcentral is "partial small subunit ribosomal RNA". It matches the Rfam family "Eukaryotic small subunit ribosomal RNA", at positions 1657 to 1779 of the family's 1831-position model. Lineage: Eukaryota; Fungi; Ascomycota; Dothideomycetes; Mycosphaerellales; Teratosphaeriaceae. The record is from RNAcentral.
CCUUUGUACACACCGCCCGUCGCUACUACCGAUUGAAUGGCUCAGUGAGGCCUUCGGAUCGGCCCAGGGAGGUCGGCAACGACCACCCAGGGCUGAAAAGUUCGUCAAACUCGGUCAUUUAGAGG